GAUGAACGCUGGCGGCGUGCCUAAUACAUGCAAGUCGAGCGAACGGACGAGAGGCUUGCUUUUCUGAUGUUAGCGGCGGACGGGUGAGUAACACGUGGAUAACCUACCUAUAAGACUGGGAUAACUUCGGGAAACCGGAGCUAAUACCGGAUAAUAUUUUGAACCGCAUGGUUCAAAAGUGAAAGACGGUCUUGCUGUCACUUAUAGAUGGAUCCGCGCUGCAUUAGCUAGUUGGUAAGGUAACGGCUUACCAAGGCAACGAUGCAUAGCCGACCUGAGAGGGUGAUCGGCCACACUGGAACUGAGACACGGUCCAGACUCCUACGGGAGGCAGCAGUAGGGAAUCUUCCGCAAUGGGCGAAAGCCUGACGGAGCAACGCCGCGUGAGUGAUGAAGGUCUUCGGAUCGUAAAACUCUGUUAUUAGGGAAGAACAUAUGUGUAAGUAACUGUGCACAUCUUGACGGGACCUAAUCAGAAAACCACGGCUAACUACGU
This 496-nucleotide ribosomal RNA is filed under the name uncultured bacterium. Its description in RNAcentral is "partial 16S ribosomal RNA". It matches the Rfam family "Bacterial small subunit ribosomal RNA", at positions 28 to 506 of the family's 1533-position model. The record is from RNAcentral.